This 235-nucleotide ribosomal RNA is filed under the name uncultured bacterium. RNAcentral's name for it is "partial 16S ribosomal RNA". It matches the Rfam family "Bacterial small subunit ribosomal RNA", at positions 15 to 233 of the family's 1533-position model. The record is from RNAcentral.
GAUCCUGGCUCAGGAUGAACGCUGGCGGCGUGCUUAACACAUGCAAGUCGAGCGAAGCACUUAUGAAAGAUUCUUCGGAUGAAAUCAUUUGUGACUGAGCGGCGGACGGGUGAGUACGCGUGGGUAACCUGCCUCAUACAGGGGGAUAACAGUUGGAAACGACUGCUAAUACCGCAUAAGCGCACAGUACCGCAUGGUACAGUGUGAAAAACUCCGGUGGUAUGAGAUGGACCCG